RNAcentral lists this long non-coding RNA (338 nucleotides) under Anas platyrhynchos platyrhynchos (common mallard). RNAcentral describes it as "lncRNA (ENSAPLG00000019498.1)". Lineage: Eukaryota; Metazoa; Chordata; Aves; Anseriformes; Anatidae. The record is from RNAcentral.
AGACAAAGGCUACAGAAAUAAACUUUAUAAUAUGAGGCAGAGCUGCAAAGGACUGAAGGACAAAGUUGCAUGUUUAUAGUUGACAGCUCUAUAGAAACUGAAUUUGCAAGCUGGUCUAGAAUUUUACUGUGGUAAUGGAUGCGAUAUUCCCUGUCAGACUGCGAAGGGACCAAAUCAGACUAUAUAUACAUAGCAGGGAGAAGAUGUAGCAUAUGGCAACCUGUGAAAAGAGUAAUUAACCAUGUGUGAUUACAAACUCAUAGCAGAAUUUCACAAGGUGAUUUGGAGUGGGUAUGUGCUGUUGUGCUUCUGAGUACAAAUAAAGUUAACAGUGAUCU